RNAcentral lists this ribosomal RNA (499 nucleotides) under uncultured bacterium. RNAcentral describes it as "bacterial SSU rRNA". It matches the Rfam family "Bacterial small subunit ribosomal RNA", at positions 899 to 1397 of the family's 1533-position model. The record is from RNAcentral.
ACUCAAAUGAAUUGACGGGGGCCCGCACAAGCGGCGGAGCAUGCGGAUUAAUUCGAUGCAACGCGAAGAACCUUACCAAGGCUUGACAUACUUGAGAAGCCACCAGAGAUGGUGGUCUCUUUGGACACUCAUGUACAGGUGGUGCAUGGUUGUCGUCAGCUCGUGUCGUGAGAUGUUGGGUUAAGUCCCGCAACGAGCGCAACCCUCGUCCUAUGUUGCCAGCACGUGAUGGUGGGGACUCAUAGGAGACUGCCGGGGUCAACUCGGAGGAAGGUGGGGAUGACGUCAAAUCAUCAUGCCCCUUAUGUCUUGGGCUUCACGCAUGCUACAAUGGCCGGUACAAAGGGCUGCGAUACCGUGAGGUGGAGCGAAUCCCAGAAAGCCGGUCUCAGUUCGGAUUGGGGUCUGCAACUCGACCCCAUGAAGUUGGAGUCGCUAGUAAUCGCAGAUCAGCAUUGCUGCGGUGAAUACGUUCUCGGGCCUUGUACACACCGCCCGU